UAUACAGCGAAACUGCGAAUGGCUCAUUAUAUAAGUUAUCGUUUAUUUGAUAGUGCCUUACUACUUGGAUAACCGUGGUAAUUCUAGAGCUAAUACAUGCUAAAAACCCCGACUUCGGAAGGGGUGUAUUUAUUAGAUACAAAACCAAUGCCCUUCGGGGCUCUUUGGUGAUUCAUGAUAACUAUACGAAUCGCACGGCCUUGCGCCGGCGAUGGUUCAUUCAAAUUUCUUCCCUAUCAACUUUCGAUGUUUGGGUAUUGGCCAAACAUGGUUGCAACGGGUAACGGAGGGUUAGGGCUCGACCCCGGAGAAGGAGCCUGAGAAACGGCUACUACAUCCAAGGAAGGCAGCAGGCGCGCAAAUUACCCAAUCCCGACUCGGGGAGGUAGUGACAAUAAAUACUGAUACAGGGCCCUUUCGGGCCUUGUAAUUGGAAUGAGUACACUUUAAAUCCCUUAACGAGGAACAAUUGGAGGGCAAGUCUGGUGCCAGCAGCCGCGGUAAUUCCAGCUCCAAUAGCGUAUAU
RNAcentral lists this ribosomal RNA (526 nucleotides) under uncultured eukaryote. Its description in RNAcentral is "SSU rRNA". It matches the Rfam family "Eukaryotic small subunit ribosomal RNA", at positions 75 to 604 of the family's 1831-position model. The record is from RNAcentral.